UGAAGAACGUGCUUCACCACCAGGCCAUUUUAAGAUCUGUCUCGCUCUUGCAGUCAGCAAUGAAUGUGUCCAUAUUCAGUCUUUUGUUCUUCAAUAUGGCAAAUCUAUGUUCCAGUUUAUUUGUCGCCGCCGUGCUGGUGCAGAGAGAUGGAAAUGUAGGAAAGGCGCUGAAUGCACUUUUCUCGAUACCCGCUCUCCUGUAUG
Schistocerca serialis cubense is the source of this 204-nucleotide long non-coding RNA. RefSeq lists it as uncharacterized. The transcript has 3 exons. The record is from RefSeq and is a predicted model, not a curated record. NCBI's taxonomy places the organism in Eukaryota, Metazoa, Arthropoda, Insecta, Orthoptera, Acrididae.